This 433-nucleotide ribosomal RNA is filed under the name uncultured bacterium. RNAcentral's name for it is "partial 16S ribosomal RNA". It matches the Rfam family "Bacterial small subunit ribosomal RNA", at positions 29 to 507 of the family's 1533-position model. The record is from RNAcentral.
AACGAACGCUGGCGGCAUGCCUAACACAUGCAAGUCGAACGAGACCUUCGGGUCUAGUGGCGCACGGGUGCGUAACGCGUGGGAACCUGCCCUUAGGUUCGGAAUAACUCCCCGAAAGGGGUGCUAAUACCGGAUAAUGUCUUCGGACCAAAGAUUUAUCGCCUUUGGAUGGGCCCGCGUUGGAUUAGCUAGUUGGUAGGGUACAAGCCUACCAAGGCGACGAUCCAUAGCUGGUCGGAUAGGAUGAUCAGCCACACUGGGACUGAGACACGGCCCAGACUGCUACGGGAGGCAGCAGUGGGGAAUAUUGGACAAUGGGCGAAAGCCUGAUCCAGCAAUGCCGCGUGAGUGAUGAAGGCCUUAGGGUUGUAAAGCUCUUUGACCCGGGAUGAUAAUGACAGUACCGGGAGAAUAAGCUCCGGCUAACUCCGUG